AUUGAGAGCUACACUGGUUCGAUCUUAGAAGAGCAGUGCAAUUGGAUCCUUGAGGAAUCAAAGGGCUUGACACCCAAGAAAGAAAAAAAGAGCUUGAGAAACUUGAGUACCAUACAUUGAACAGGAAUUAAUUGGCCAACAUUUGCAUAACAUGCAUUGAAAUUCAUAUGCACAUUUGCAUAGCAUACACUACUUUCAGGAAAGUAUAGUGUACAAAUUCAAGAAGCAGGGGUGUUCCAACAUCCCAUAUGGAGAAGACAAAUAUGAAGAUAUUUUGCAAGAUGGAAAAGAAACUUGUUAGGUAAGUUCCUAAUCCUUGAAAUAGGAUGUCUUUUGGUAUCAGGGUUGAUUUAUAAGACCUUUGGGCAUGAUCUCCUGAAAUCCCCUCAAACACAACUUUCAACUCCUUCGGACAUGAUUGUCUAGGAGUAUUUACUUUUCAAAGUUCGUUGCCUCUGUUUAGAGGAGCAAUUUACUUUCCAAAGUCGUGGUACCUCUGUUUAGAGGAGCAAUUUACUUUUCAAAGUUCGUUGCCUCUGUUUAGAGGAGCAAUUUACUUUUCAAAGUCGUGGUGCCUCUGUUUAGAGGAGCAAUUUACUUUUCAAAGUCGUGGUGCCUCUGUU
RNAcentral lists this long non-coding RNA (623 nucleotides) under Durio zibethinus. Its description in RNAcentral is "long non-coding RNA (DZIB_LNC002018)". Lineage: Eukaryota; Viridiplantae; Streptophyta; Magnoliopsida; Malvales; Malvaceae. The record is from RNAcentral.